This 263-nucleotide long non-coding RNA is filed under the name Physcomitrium patens. Its description in RNAcentral is "long non-coding RNA (PPAT_LNC009587)". Lineage: Eukaryota; Viridiplantae; Streptophyta; Bryopsida; Funariales; Funariaceae. The record is from RNAcentral.
CCCACGUACUUGUGGUGAACCAGUUUCAGUCUUCCUCGGUGUGCUCUUUAAGCAAUCACUUUAUGCCAGGUGGUCGUCCUCGAGCGCAGACUUCCAUCUUGUAGUUGAUUGAAGCUCGGGAUCCCCGUUUCUUGCCUAAGCUUUCUCUGCGACGGUCAAGCUUCUUCUUCGGGUGCAGAGCUGGAGGCUGAUGGUAGUCAGCUGUUUCUUACUUCGUCUCAGCCACUCUUUCAGAGCAUUCCUGCGGUGAACCUUCAAGGUGG